GACGAACGCUGCCUUUGUGCUUAACACAUGCAAGUCGAACGGAAAGGCCCUGCUUUUGUGGGGUGCUCGAGUGGCGAACGGGUGAGUAACUCGUGAGUAACCUGCCCUUGACUUUGGGAUAACUUCAGGAAACUGGGGCUAAUACCGGAUAGGAGCUCCUGCUGCAUGGUGGGGGUUGGAAAGUUUCGGCGGUUGGGGAUGGACUCGCGGCUUAUCAGCUUGUUGGUGGGGUAGUGGCUUACCAAGGCUUUGACGGGUAGCCGGCCUGAGAGGGUGACCGGCCACAUUGGGACUGAGAUACGGCCCAGACUCCUACGGGAGGCAGCAGUGGGGAAUAUUGCACAAUGGGCGGAAGCCUGAUGCAGCAACGCCGCGUGCGGGAUGACGGCCUUCGGGUUGUAAACCGCUUUCGCCUGUGACGAAGCGUGAGUGACGGUAAUGGGUAAAGAAGCACCGGCUAACUACGUGCCAGCAGCCGCGGUGAUACGUAGGGUGCGAGCGUUGUCCGGAUUUAUUGGGCGUAAAGGGCUCGUAGGUGGUUGAUCGCGUCGGAAGUGUAAUCUUGGGGCUUAACCCUGAGCGUGCUUUCGAUACGGGUUGACUUGAGGAAGGUAGGGGAGAAUGGAAUUCCUGGUGGAGCGGUGGAAUGCGCAGAUAUCAGGAGGAACACCAGUGGCGAAGGCGGUUCUCUGGGCCUUUCCUGACGCUGAGGAGCGAAAGCGUGGGGAGCGAACAGGCUUAGAUACCCUGGUAGUCCACGCUGUAAACGGUGGGUACUAGGUGUGGGGUCCAUUCCACGGGUUCCGUGCCGUAGCUAACGCUUUAAGUACCCCGCCUGGGGAGUACGGCCGCAAGGCUAAAACUCAAAGGAAUUGACGGGGCCCCGCACAAGCGGCGGAGCAUGCGGAUUAAUUCGAUGCAACGCGUAGAACCUUACCUGGGUUUGACAUGGAUCGGGAGUGCUCAGAGAUGGGUGUGCCUCUUUUGGGGUCGGUUCACAGGUGGUGCAUGGCUGUCGUCAGCUCGUGUCGUGAGAUGUUGGGUUAAGUCCCGCAACGAGCGCAACCCUUGUUCACUGUUGCCAGCACGUUAUGGUGGGGACUCAGUGGAGACCGCCGGGGUCAACUCGGAGGAAGGUGGGGAUGACGUCAAGUCAUCAUGCCCCUUAUGUCCAGGGCUUCACGCAUGCUACAAUGGCUGGUACAGAGAGUGGCGAGCCUGUGAGGGUGAGCGAAUCUCGGAAAGCCGGUCUCAGUUCGGAUUGGGGUCUGCAACUCGACCUCAUGAAGUCGGAGUCGCUAGUAAUCGCAGAUCAGCAACGCUGCGGUGAAUACGUUCCCGGGGGC
This 1346-nucleotide ribosomal RNA is filed under the name uncultured bacterium. RNAcentral describes it as "partial 16S ribosomal RNA". It matches the Rfam family "Bacterial small subunit ribosomal RNA", at positions 28 to 1381 of the family's 1533-position model. The record is from RNAcentral.